This 885-nucleotide small RNA is filed under the name Pongo abelii (Sumatran orangutan). Its description in RNAcentral is "retained intron". Lineage: Eukaryota; Metazoa; Chordata; Mammalia; Primates; Hominidae. The record is from RNAcentral.
GUCGGAUGGGGUAGGAUCUGCUGCUGGUGGUGGUGAUACCGGAUCCCCGGCCUAUGGCGCCAGCGCAGCGCUGCCCUCUGUGCCGCCAGACCUUCUUCUGUGGUCGCGGGCACGUUUACAGCCGCAAGCACCAGCGGCAGCUGAAGGAGGCUUUGGAGAGGCUCCUGCCCCAGGUGCGGAGGCAAGGCUAGAGACGGGAUGGGAGUGCCGGGCAGGUCAGUGAAGGCCAGAGCGGGUGUGAUUUGGGGGUCCCCCUCGGGGUUCUGCUUGUACUCUCUGCCGCAGGUGGAGGCGGCCCGCAAGGCCAUCCGCGCCGCUCAGGUGGAGCGCUAUGUGCCCGAACACGAGCGAUGCUGCUGGUGCCUGUGCUGCGGCUGUGAGGUGCGGGAACACCUGAGCCAUGGAAACCUGACGGUGCUGUACGGGGGGCUGCUGGAGCAUCUGGCCAGCCCAGAGCACAAGAAAGCAACCAACAAAUUCUGGUGGGAGAACAAAGCUGAGGUCCAGAUGAAAGAGAAGUUUCUGGUCACUCCCCAGGAUUAUGCACGAUUCAAGAAAUCCAUGGUGAAAGGUUUGGAUUCCUAUGAAGAAAAGGAGGAUGAAGUGAUCAAGGAGAUGGCAGCUCAGAUCCGUGAAGUGGAGCAGAGCCGACAGGAGGUGGUUCGGUCUGUCUUAGAGGUUGGUUUCCCUCGGAGGAUCCAGACCACCUCAGACAGUGCCAGACCCAGAAGAGGGCUCUUCAGCACAUGGAAGCUGGAAAGGGAUAAACAGCCAAGUAGCUUCCAGCUCACAGCAGCCCGCAAACUUGGACCUGCCACCAGCUCCAGAGCUUGACUGGAUGGAGACAGGACCAUCUCUGACAUUCAUUGGCCAUCAGGUACAAAG